AGCUCCAAUAGCGUAUAUUAAAGUUGCUGCAGUUAAAAAGCUCGUAGUUGGAUUUCUGGCUUGGUGCGCCUGACCCGCUACGGUUACGUAUGUGAGUGUCGGGUCGCGCCUGCCAUCCUUCUAGAGAACAGUUCUACCCUUCAUUGGGCCGGGACUGUCGCUCUAGAUCUUUUACUUUGAAAAAAUUAGAGUGUUUAAAGCAGGCGUUUGCUAUGAAUACAUUAGCAUGGAAUAAUCAUCUAGGACUUCGGUCCUAUUUUGUUGGUUUCGCGGGCUGAAGUCAUGAUUGAUAGGGAUAGUUGGGGGUGCUAGUAUUCAGUGGCCAGAGGUGAAAUUCUCGGAUUCACUGAAGACUUACUUAUGCGAAAGCAUUCACCAAGGAUGUCUCCU
This 390-nucleotide ribosomal RNA is filed under the name uncultured Cercozoa. Its description in RNAcentral is "bacterial SSU rRNA". It matches the Rfam family "Eukaryotic small subunit ribosomal RNA", at positions 587 to 972 of the family's 1831-position model. Lineage: Eukaryota; Cercozoa. The record is from RNAcentral.